Molecule: ribosomal RNA, 450 nt
Filed under: uncultured bacterium
Lineage: Bacteria
Description: bacterial SSU rRNA
Rfam family: Bacterial small subunit ribosomal RNA
Source: RNAcentral
GUCGAGAAUCUUUCUCAAUGGGCGCAAGCCUGAAGGAGCGACGCCGCGUGGGGGAUGAAGGGCUUCGGCCUGUAAACCCCUGUCAUUUGCGAACAAGGUCAGCCAUUUAAAAGAUAGCUGGCUUGAUGGUAGCGAAAGAGGAAGGGACGGCUAACUCUGUGCCAGCAGCCGCGGUAAUACAGAGGUCCCAAGCGUUGUUCGGAUUCACUGGGCGUAAAGGGUGCGUAGGUGGUGGGGAAAGUUCGAUGUGAAAGCUCCGAGCUUAACUCGGAAAUGGCAUUGAAAACUACCCUGCUAGAGGAUUGGAGGGGGGACUGGAAUUCUCGGUGUAGCAGUGAAAUGCGUAGAUAUCGAGAGGAACACCAGUGGCGAAGGCGAGUCCCUGGACAACUCCUGACACUGAGGCACGAAAGCUAGGGGAGCAAACAGGAUUAGAUACCCUAGUAGUCC